Molecule: RNA transcript, 1421 nt
Organism: Cryptomeria japonica (Japanese cedar)
Lineage: Eukaryota; Viridiplantae; Streptophyta; Pinopsida; Cupressales; Cupressaceae
Gene name: universal stress protein A-like protein
Exons: 5
Source: RefSeq, a predicted model, not a curated record
ACCGACUCUCGGAGAAUUUACAUUAAGAACCAAACGCUAGCGUAAGCUCUAGAUUACGUAGAGCAGAGAGAGUAUAAGAAUAAAGAAUUCUUCAAUGAAAGAACAAAAGGAAUUCUUAAAUCCGGGAACAUUUUACUUUACAGCAAAUUCGUAAGCUUUAAAUGUAAGAAACGCAGUCAUUUGUUUUCUGGAAUCGUCUAAACGGUUUGAGAAUCACUGUGACAUCAAUAAUGGAUCCUAACCAAGCUGAAGCUGAAGUUGCUGUAGUCGAAGAUUUUAAUGCCAAGGAAGAGGAAGACAAAUUAGUAAUUGUUAAUACAGAGGAAGUCGAAGAGCUUACUGUAACAAGCCCUCAAGAAGCGGUAAAACACGAACAAGUGAGGAAGAUGAGAGAUCGGUCGAUCGGAGUUGCAGUCGAUAAUUCCAGCAGCAGCAAGGCCGCGCUCAAGUGGGCGAUUGAUAAUCUUGUGGACAAAGAUGAUCGAGUGGUGAUUAUUCAUGUGUAUAAGGAUAAAUCUGAUCCUCCGCAGAAAAAACUUUGGGAAGACAAAGGGUCGCCCCUGAUUCCCCUGAGUGAGUUGAGAGAAGUUAAUUUGAUGAAACAGUAUGGAAUGACCCCUGAUCCGGAGGUUUUGGGCAUGCUGGAUACUGUAGCAAGGCAAAAACAGGCAAGGGUUGUGGCAAAAAUUUACUGGGGCGAUCCCAGAGAGAAGAUCUGCGAUGCUGUUGAGGAUCUUAAGCUUGACACCCUGGUAGUGGGCAGCAGGGGCCUGGGACUAAUCAAAAGGGUUUUACUUGGAAGCGUCAGCAACCACGUGGUGGCUAAUGCAAGUUGCCCUGUUACAGUGGUGAAAGGGACCGCACAAAAAGGAUAAAGAAAUGGAUUGAGCGCAUGUUCUAGCUGUUUUUAUAAGUCUCUUGUAAUUGUGUGUCUAUUGUAAUUUGUGUUAUCAGUUUGGCCAGUUUUUUUUUUUUUAAUUAAGUCAAGCUAUUGAGAUUGCAUAGGUUGUAAGGCACCUUAUUUCUUUCAUUGCAGUUUCCUCUGGUUUAUAUUUUCAAUGGUUUUUUAAAAGUCCCUACCAAAUGUUGGAUUUUUCUAGCUCAGUCUCAGUGUAUGGAGGAUGACUAAUAUCAGAUUUCAGUUUCUUUUGUAUGUUAAUGCUUUCAUUCCGUGUGUAAUUCCACGUUUUAUGUGGAAAAAUAAUUGCUUGGUGGGCCAACGUUUGGCUUAAAGAUAUCCCCGGAUGGAUAGGAUAAGGAGAAGUUUCAAAUAUUGAUCAUAUUUUGUGAUGGAUUGACUCUUGAGGGAUGGAAAGGAAGACAAUGAUGUUUCAUUGUUGACAAAAGAGGCAUGCAUAGUCCAAUAUCAAAAUAUCUAUCCUUACGAGGAAGUGAAUGGUACCAUUUGUUAUUGAGUUUAA